This 252-nucleotide ribosomal RNA is filed under the name uncultured bacterium. RNAcentral describes it as "partial 16S ribosomal RNA". It matches the Rfam family "Bacterial small subunit ribosomal RNA", at positions 524 to 776 of the family's 1533-position model. RNAcentral also lists the same sequence under 1 other name. The record is from RNAcentral.
UACGUAGGUGGCAAGCGUUGUCCGGAUUUAUUGGGCGUAAAGCGCGCGCAGGCGGCUAUGUAAGUCUGAUGUUAAAGCCCGAGGCUCAACCUCGGUUCGCAUUGGAAACUGUGUAGCUUGAGUGCAGAAGAGGAAAGCGGUAUUCCACGUGUAGCGGUGAAAUGCGUAGAGAUGUGGAGGAACACCAGUGGCGAAGGCGGCUUUCUGGUCUGUAACUGACGCUGAGGCGCGAAAGCGUGGGGAGCAAACAGG